RNAcentral lists this long non-coding RNA (621 nucleotides) under Lynx pardinus (Iberian lynx). The record is from RNAcentral. Lineage: Eukaryota; Metazoa; Chordata; Mammalia; Carnivora; Felidae.
CCUGCCUGCUGUAAUUACGCCAUCACCUUCCUAUUUACUAAAGUGCUCAUAGGAAUAGUCGUGACCACUAAAUAAAUAAGUGAAUUCAUCAUCAGGUUUAAAACUGUUCUGGAGAGUCUAUAACCCCGGGAAUUAUAUUUGUAUCUGAAAUGACGCAGAGCUCAGAGCAUAAUCGUCCCCUGUGCCGUGAAAGGAUGGGUCACUUCUCUGCUUGUGACAUUUUGAGAUGUUUGCAUUUAUACAGAGGGAGAAGAGGGGUGGAGAAAAAAAGAUAGUGAAGGGGAAAAAAAGAAAAGAAUAAAGAUGUCGAGACGUAAUCAUUUUGAAAGUGUCUGUAUGAUGCCAUUCAUUUUGUUUCUCAGGCUCUGCACCUUUGAACAUCCUCCUGAUUAAUGCAGGUAACCUUGUUUUUUUUUUGUAGCCUAGAUAGGGGUUGUGUCUCCCUACGUCUCUCUCAGUCUCCUGGUGAGGCAAGAUUUCCAAAAAAAUAGGAAUGCCCAUGUUUUAAAGUAAUAAGAUAAGGGUAUUAUUUGUCUAUUUCCUGAAUUCCAGGGCUCUGUCUCUCGCGCUCCUCGACAAACCCUGUGAACUCCGGAUUACUGUCUUCAGCUUUAUUACGGC